AUUUCUAUUGUGCAUGCGCACAGGCAUGGAAAUUUCUUUGGAGAUUAUUCUGGCAAGCUGGGUGUGAAUUUCGUCACAUUUCCAGUAAACACUGGGAAAAUAGAAUUAUGACUAUCAUUAUUCUAAGUGGAGAAUGAUUCGGACAAUUGUGAAAGAGAACCCGUUCAUACAAUCCUUUGGUUGUUAUCCCGGCUUCAGUAAGGCAGCAGGCCAUAUUCCCAAUUUUUUCCCAUUGAGGUCCACAAGCUCAUAUGACGAGGCACCCUUCUUGUGCACAAUUCGUGCUGGAAGAAAUUGUGGACCAUAUUUAGCAUUGUAUUGGUCCGCGGCGCUAGAUAAGGCCAUGUUGCGGCGAUACACGAGCUGUCCUACAUCGAAACUUUUACUGAAGUUCCGAUGCCGUAGUCGUUUUCUCCCUUCUUCGUGAGCAAUUUUGAGGUUCUUCUGAACCACCUCACGAAUCCUCCCGAACAUCUGUUCUUGAUGGGACAAUCGAUCUUCAGAGGCAAGUUCAUUAUCUCCCAGCCAGCUAUGAUCUCUACCGGUAGCAAGUAGCUCAUAACCACAGGCGAACGUCCCAAAGUCUCUGGUCCUCCUUGACGUAAGUACGGAUGGCUGCAUUGACUGUCCUAUUCACCCGCUCGACAGGAUUUGCCUGCGAGUGGUAUUUGGAGUUAAGCCAAUGUCGGAUCUGAUACUUGUCAAGUAGAGCUUUGAAUUCUUUGGAUAAGAAGCACGAAGCGUUAUCGGUAAUCACAACCUCGGGCGUUGAAUUGCGGAAAAACCACUGGUCUCGGAGCGUAGCCGAAAGUGACACACUAUCGAUUCGCCGGAAAGGACAUAACAUUACCCACUUGCUAAACAAGUCUACGACCGAAAGGAUAUAUUGGUUUUGCUUCUUGCUCCGCGGUAGGGGGCCUAUG
This is a long non-coding RNA of Toxorhynchites rutilus septentrionalis, 923 nucleotides long. RefSeq lists it as uncharacterized. The record is from RefSeq and is a predicted model, not a curated record. The transcript is spliced from 3 exons. NCBI's taxonomy places the organism in Eukaryota, Metazoa, Arthropoda, Insecta, Diptera, Culicidae.